ACAAAGCAUGACUAAGCAGGACGCCAAGAGACUUUAUUCUAUGUCGGACUUACAUUCCCUACUUGACUUAAAAGACCCCCAGGAUCUUUUAUGUUUUAGGUUUUAUUGUAUAUAUUGU
Molecule: long non-coding RNA, 118 nt
Organism: Etheostoma cragini (Arkansas darter)
Lineage: Eukaryota; Metazoa; Chordata; Actinopteri; Perciformes; Percidae
Exons: 3
Source: RefSeq, a predicted model, not a curated record